Long non-coding RNA from Octopus sinensis (East Asian common octopus), 381 nucleotides. RefSeq lists it as uncharacterized. NCBI's taxonomy places the organism in Eukaryota, Metazoa, Mollusca, Cephalopoda, Octopoda, Octopodidae. The transcript has 3 exons. The record is from RefSeq and is a predicted model, not a curated record.
UGUCUGUCUCUCUCUCUCUCUCUUAUAUAUAUAUAUAUAUAUAGAUAUAUAUUUAUUCACACACGCAUUCUUAUAUAUUAUUCAAGCAUGCUAACUGUGUGUAUUCUUCCCUUUUUCUCUCUCCCUUUCUCUCCUUUCCUCUUCCUUCCCCUCUCACAAUAUCUCCCGCGUAUUAUUCUAAAUGGCGCUUUGUAUUUUAAAAUUUUCUUCUUUAUCCUUAUUAGCCCAUAUCUUCACCAAAUACACGAUAAACUCCAAUCCUUUGAUCUUGCGCCGAUAAAUUAUCAAUCAAUUUAACAGUUCAAUAAUUCAGUAUUUCUUCUAAUGAAUAAAGUGAUUUUUGUUUCUUUGUGUAUAUAUAUAUACUUAUAUAUAAUAUAU